UCGUUUCAAAAAUUGGGAGUAAAAUUUGGUUUUAAUAGUGGAUUUUUGGGUUUCAACUGAUGUAGCCCAGAAGUUUAUGUAAAUUCAUCUAGGAAUUAAAAUAAGACAUCAUUUAAUUAAAUGUCAAAGCAAUUAAUUGCUUGUAAUCAAUCAAUUAAAGUUAGAUUUCUCAAGGAUAGUUUAAAAAAUUCAACUUAGAGCGCAGUUUCCGAGAAAACUCAUGUUUUUAGGUCAAAGUCAAAGUUUUCAAGAAAUGUCAAUUUUUAUUUAAAAAAUAUUGGAUUAUUUAAUCUAGUAGAAAAAAAAUCGCAAAGAAGUGUCAAGAAUUAAGUUGCUAGGUUUCCAAAACAACAAAGUAAGUGAACUCAUUACAACAGUCCAAGUUAAACAGUGUUUCUGAACUCAACUUAUAAUCAAUUCAGCAUUUAAAAGUGAUCAGUAUCUCUUAUAUCCUUUCAUUUAUUUUUAAAAAAAUAAGUGAAUGUUGACUACUUGAUUUAUAAAGUUGUAUUUCAAGUAAAUUUGGCUUUGAAUAGGGUAUGAUUUAUCUCCGUUCCAGAGUUUCAUCUCCUUUUUUGAGUUCUCUUUCGUUUUAUUUACCUGUAAAUCAAUUAAUUUCUUUUGACUCAUUCUAUCUCUUGUAGUGUAAUGUGAAGCCAAGACCAACAUUGAAUAUUGUAGUGCAUCUAGAGCACUUGCAAAGAUCUGUGAGUAGCAGCACUGCGGAUAAGAGCGAUGAGUUCUUGAGUGGAUAUGCUGGUACUUCGAGUACUCCUUCCAGCCACCAAGAAACGAGAGGCUGAUAAAUCUAUGUCAUUGUUUCGAACGUCUCGAACUAUCUAGUCAGAAGACAUUCCAAGAACCGGAGCGUGAAGAGUUUACCAGCAAUUAGUUGUUCAUCAAGUGAGCCUGAUGUAAAGAGACCAAAACUAACUGUGAAAAAUUUAAAAUUACACGAUAUUGAGUUCGCUCGAAAAAUGAAGAAGAAAACUCAAGAAGAAAGAAUGAUAGUAUAAAAAAUAUUUGAUUCAAGUAAGUAUUUCAUUUGGCAGGUGCUAAAUGCAUUGGUACUCACCAUCUCGAGGAGCUUCAGGAACUGCUACGCUGAGGCAGGUCUAGUACACACGCAUCCCAAAA
Molecule: long non-coding RNA, 1137 nt
Filed under: Bemisia tabaci
Lineage: Eukaryota; Metazoa; Arthropoda; Insecta; Hemiptera; Aleyrodidae
Description: lncRNA ENSSWEETPG008895
Source: RNAcentral